GCGCAGCAGGCGAGAAUACUUUACAAUGUGCGAAAGCACGAUAAGGGAACUCUGAGUGCCUCCUAAGGAGGCUGUUCUGAUGUCUAAAAGCAACAGAAGUAAGGGCUGGGUAAGACCGGUGCCAGCCGCCGCGGUAACACCGGCAGCCCAAGUGGUAGCCACGUUUAUUGGGUCUAAAGCGUUCGUAGCCGGCCAGGUAAGUUCCUUGGUAAAUUUAGCCGCUUAACGGUUAAGCUUUCAGGGAAUACUGCUUGGCUUGGGACUGGGAGAGGUCAGAGGUACUCCGGGGGUAGGGUGAAAUCUAUUAAUCCCUGGGGACCACCGGUAGCGAAGGCGUCUGACCAGACCAGGUCCGACGGUGAGGGACGAAGGCUAGGGGCGCGAACCGGAUUAGGAUACCCCUGUAGU
Molecule: ribosomal RNA, 408 nt
Filed under: uncultured microorganism
Description: bacterial SSU rRNA
Rfam family: Archaeal small subunit ribosomal RNA
Source: RNAcentral